Molecule: ribosomal RNA, 253 nt
Filed under: uncultured bacterium
Lineage: Bacteria
Description: partial 16S ribosomal RNA
Rfam family: Bacterial small subunit ribosomal RNA
Source: RNAcentral
UACAGAGGUCCCAAGCGUUGUUCGGAUUCAUUGGGCGUAAAGGGUGCGUAGGUGGCGCUGUAAGUCGGGUGUGAAAUUUCGAGGCUUAACCUCGAAACUGCAUUCGAUACUGCGGUGCUUGAGGACUGGAGAGGAGACUGGAAUUCAUGGUGUAGCAGUGAAAUGCGUAGAGAUCAUGAGGAAGACCAGUGGCGAAGGCGGGUCUCUGGACAGUUCCUGACACUGAGGCACGAAGGCCAGGGGAGCAAACGGG